Molecule: ribosomal RNA, 498 nt
Filed under: uncultured bacterium
Lineage: Bacteria
Description: partial 16S ribosomal RNA
Rfam family: Bacterial small subunit ribosomal RNA
Source: RNAcentral
GACGAACGCUGGCGGCGUGCCUAAUACAUGCAAGUCGAGCGGACGAAUCGAAAGCUUGCUUUUGAUUCGUUAGCGGCGGACGGGUGAGUAACACGUGGGCAACCUGCCCUGUAGACGGGGAUAACACCGAGAAAUCGGUGCUAAUACCGGAUAACACGAAAUGUCGCAUGACGUUUCGUUGAAAGACGGCGCAAGCUGCCGCUACAGGAUGGGCCCGCGGCGCAUUAGCUAGUUGGUGAGGUAACGGCUCACCAAGGCGACGAUACGUAGCUGACCUGAGAGGGUGAUCGGCCACACUGGGACUGAGACACGGCCCAGACUCCUACGGGAGGCAGCAGUAGGGAAUCUUCCGCAAUGGACGAAAGUCUGACGGAGCAACGCCGCGUGAGCGAAGAAGGCCUUCGGGUCGUAAAGCUCUGUUGUUAGGGAAGAACAAGUAACGCAGUAACUGGCGUUACCGUGACGGUACCUAACGAGAAAGCCACGGCUAACUACGUG